AGAAACAACCAGAUAAACCCACAAAUCAAAAUAUUACGAAACAAGAUCAAUCUAAUGAAGAAAUCAUAGUGAUACUACCCAAUGAAAUUGAUGAAGUCGUUGUUGUGAAUCAGCCAGAAGAAGCUGCUGAAGAAAUAGUUGUGGUAAGUAUCUAAUAUUGAAAUUCAACUAUAGAAACAACAAUACCACUUUCAUAGACACAUUCAUAACAUCAUUGACUUUAUUAUUAAAACUAUUUUAUUUG
Molecule: long non-coding RNA, 244 nt
Organism: Xenopus laevis (African clawed frog)
Lineage: Eukaryota; Metazoa; Chordata; Amphibia; Anura; Pipidae
Exons: 4
Source: RefSeq, a predicted model, not a curated record